This 111-nucleotide ribosomal RNA is filed under the name Caerostris darwini. The record is from RNAcentral. Lineage: Eukaryota; Metazoa; Arthropoda; Arachnida; Araneae; Araneidae.
ACGGCCAUACCAUGCUGAAUAUACCGGUUCUCGUUAGAUCACCGAAGUCAAGCAUCAUUGGGCGCGGCCAGUACUUGAGUGGGGGACCACCUGGGAACACCGCGUGCCGUU